This 351-nucleotide ribosomal RNA is filed under the name Gerres filamentosus (whipfin silverbiddy). RNAcentral's name for it is "partial 12S ribosomal RNA". It matches the Rfam family "Bacterial small subunit ribosomal RNA", at positions 1031 to 1533 of the family's 1533-position model. Lineage: Eukaryota; Metazoa; Chordata; Actinopteri; Gerreiformes; Gerreidae. The record is from RNAcentral.
CCUUCCGCCUAUAUACCGCCGUCGUAAGCUUACCCCGUGAGGGGAUGAUAGUGAGCUAAACUGGUAAAGCCCAAAACGUCAGGUCGAGGUGUAGCUUAUGGAGAGGCCAGAAAUGGGCUACAUUCCCUACCACCAGGGAACACAGACAACGCACUGAAACACACGUUCGAAGGUGGAUUUAGUAGUAAGCAGCAAGCAGACUGUCCUGCUGAAACCGGCUCUGAAGCGCGCACACACCGCCCGUCACUCUCCCCAAACAUACCCUCCUUUCCAUUAAAUAAAAAACCACCUUUGUAAAGGGGAGGCAAGUCGUAACAUGGUAAGUGUACCGGAAGGUGUACUUGGAAGAAA